UUCUGUUUUGCAACCAAUUAGCAAGCAAGACUCAACUAAAUUAUUAAUUAUAAACAUGAAAUGUUCCUCUUCCUCACUCUUAUAGUUCUUUGGUGGAUAUAUAAACACACUCCAGAUGCAAUUCACAAAACACAUUGUUAAUUAGUCUAUUUUCAAGAAGGUACAAAACACACUCCAGAGCCUUUUGUUUAGACAAACAUGUCUAUUAGGAAAUGAAUUGUUGCAAAUAUCUAUGACUCUCACACUUCUCUUUAUCCCUAUUUAUGUUUAUGUGCAUUUCAACUUCAACAUGUGUAGAACAGUUAUAUUUGUAUUAUAAGGCAGCUAGGGAUGGGUUUGAUUUGACAAGUUGCGAAGUAAGAAAACGAGGAAGCACAAGUGAAUUUGUGUGUUUGAACUACGUAC
RNAcentral lists this long non-coding RNA (405 nucleotides) under Medicago truncatula (barrel medic). Its description in RNAcentral is "long non-coding RNA (MTRU_LNC003497)". Lineage: Eukaryota; Viridiplantae; Streptophyta; Magnoliopsida; Fabales; Fabaceae. The record is from RNAcentral.